RNAcentral lists this long non-coding RNA (1062 nucleotides) under Anser cygnoides (Swan goose). Its description in RNAcentral is "lncRNA (ENSACDG00005001684.1)". Lineage: Eukaryota; Metazoa; Chordata; Aves; Anseriformes; Anatidae. The record is from RNAcentral.
AUGUGUUUGAAUCUCGGCCCUAUCCCCAGACAUCAGCAGAAGGUGCUGGCUUCGCCACCUUCUCCAGGCUGCUCACAAACCCACCCAGAGCCUCAUCAGCGCUGCGAGCAGCGAGAUGCUGCUCCAUCCUGCUUGGGCACAGCGGCAGCAGCAGCUCCUGGCUGCCAGUGUUCAACAAGAGCUGCAAAGCAGAAAGUGUCAAGAGCUCAGCCACGAGGCUGGAAACCUUCCCCAGGUCCUUCUGCCUGCACGAGGCAGACUGCACCAACCACACAGCUCUGCAGGUGGAGGCUUGGGGAUCGGAGUCAGGAAGAGCCAGGGACUGGCUUCUGGGUUUCACUGCAGGGAUGGAAAUUAUCUAGAAUGUUUUUUUGUUUGUUUAGGUUUUUUUACCCUUUUUUUUUUUUCCAGGAGCACCUCCUUGACAUAAAACCCUGUGUCGAUUUUCCCACUGGCAGAAAACCAGACAGAUAUUUACUCUGGCCACAUGCCUCCUUGGCCAGACACGGCCACUGCCACUUCGCCACAUUAUCACGGCAGUGGGAGCACAGCCGAGCCACUGCCCCAGCAGCUCCUGUUGCCUCAAGCCCUGUGUUCCCUCGCUGGAUUAUCCUGUCCUGGCACACCUACGUGCGCAGGGGAUGUAGCAGUCCCCAUACCCUGAUGAAGAUGUUCCACCCCACGGCAACACAAGGGACGGUAAGCAGCAGUGGCGUGCAGAAACAAGAAUUUCUUAUUUCCCAGGGCAUUGGAGUAAAACAAUGCCCAACAGAGCAAAACAGAAACCCAGCUUCACUUCACCUUAGUGGCCAGGGCGUAUCUUGCCAAUGGCAGAGCAGGGAGGUAGUUACAGAGCAGAAGUCUGCUCAUACAGAGAUCAGUGAAGUUUCAUCCCGUCAUCUAACAGGGCACUGCAGCGCUUUGAGAUGGCAACAGGGAGAGUGGUGGGUAAGUCAACUCUCAGUUAUGGUUAAAAAAAAAAAGGAAAUUUUGCAUGAAGCUUACAAACUAUUGCAAAACCCUUGUGAAAACAUACGCGCACAAACCCACUGCAGGGCAUAA